Long non-coding RNA from Mus caroli (Ryukyu mouse), 827 nucleotides. RefSeq lists it as uncharacterized. The record is from RefSeq and is a predicted model, not a curated record. NCBI's taxonomy places the organism in Eukaryota, Metazoa, Chordata, Mammalia, Rodentia, Muridae.
UCCAGGCCAGUUGGUGCAGCUUCCUGUUUCACCUUAUCUUUCUUAUGUGCCCAUAUAAAAGUAAUUGUAAAGAAUAUUCUUUAAAGGGAGACAAAGUGAACAGAAUAAGCAUGGCAGAUGCUAAAAAUCAAAGGACAGAUUUAUUACAUUCAAUGACAGCUUCAAGGAAGUAAUAUCUAAUAUAAAUUGAUAUAAAUGUUUGUAAUAUAUAGAAAAUUUCAAUACAAACUUUUAAUCUCACAGAGGCAUCCCAAAUCAGUUUCUAAGGCCUAGUUUAUCUUGAGGCUCUUAGAAAUUGACCCCACCUUAUGAUGGAGAACAACCAGUGUCAGAGUUUCUUCUGAAACCCUCCUCAUUCCCCACAACACUUUUCUUAAGGCACACUAUCCACUUGCCUCUCUUGAUUGGAAACAUUGAAGCAUGGUACUGAUGGAGUGAAGCACUAGUCAUGUGAUAGAGCUGCAGAGAGAACUCAGUCUUUCUGAAUUUUCUGCUCAGGGGUUCAGACUACCGUUUUACCAAGACAGUUAAAAUCUAAGAAGAUAGAAUUCCAUUGUCUUUGUCACUUCCAGAAGGCAAGUCCAGCUCUGAAGAGGCAGGAGUGAACAAAUAAAAGGCUGGCGAUCACAAAGAGGCCGUGCAGAACAACAAAAUUCGUUUAGCCUAUUUCAACGCCUGUCUCUGCCAUCACUCCAGCAGACAGUCGCUUCAAACCUGUUAGCGCAAAAUUGACCCGAAGGUUAGAGACAGGCUCUGAUUCUCAAGCAGCGAGGUUUUCGUUUUCAUUUUCGUUUAUUCACCGACAGAGGGGCCAUAACUAAGGAUUA